UGUGCUUGAGUGAUACCUAGACGCCUAAUUGGCCGCUCGACCGCACGUCAACGUCGCCGCCAUAUUGGAGCGGGCAACUCUCAUAACUCUCACAUCAGGAAAGAAGAAAACAUACCAGACUCAUCGACAGAUUAGACACCUACAAACCGUCACACGAUAAUAAAAACAGAUCUUGGGGUGUUAUCUUUCACGGCCAUUUGCAAACAGGACAAGGACAGCCUUAAGGAAAGCUCAGGAAACCUGUUCUCAGAGACGAGACUAUACCUCCCUAGACUAGUGUUGUGUUUGUACUAAACCCAGAGCAGCCCUGAAUGAAUUGACAGAAUGACCCAGCUCAUAUUCUAAAGUGAUUAAUUGUUUUGAAAGCAUUAAUUUAUACCAGAAAACAAGACAGAAAUACUAAGGAAGAAAAUCUCUGCAUUAAUCACUUAAUCGUUUGAUUCUGAUUCAUUCAGACAUUUCUAAUAGCUUGUUCCGAAGCUCUGAUCAAAUGAUUCGCGAAACGCACUUCGGAGUCCCGAUCUGAAUCAAAUGUUUUGUGAACUCCGAAGCCCCGAUCAAAUGAUUCGCGAGCAGUGACAUCAGCAUCAUCUACACACCUGCUAGUGACAUCAGCAUCAUCUACACCUAUGCUAGUGACAUCAGCAUCAUCUACUCACUUGCUAGUGACCUCAUGCUCCUCCUCACCUACUAGUGACACCAUGCUUCUCUUCACCUGUUAGUAACUUGUCUGCUUUGUGAUAAGCAAAUUUUGCUAUCUUCCAGUAAGUUUAAGCUUUUGUUAACUUCUUAGCCAGGGUUUUAACAGACAUUAUACAUAUAAUCUUUCACAUACUUCUCAGUGUGCUUUUUUUUGCUGAAUUUAAUGCUUAGAUUUUAGGCGGGAAAUUUAAGUCAGGAAUUUUUUAUAUAAAUCUAACUCUCUACUUUUACUUAUGAUCUGCAAUAUCUUUUCAGAUUCUGAACACAUCAGAAAUCACCAACCUCUCCUGACAUAUCUUUCCAGUUUGCGUUUUGCAUGGUCCCCGAUGAACUCAACGUGGGAUGCCUUUCCGAUUUCUUUCACAUCAGGGCACUUAACCUCUACCAGGCCACAGAGAUGUUCUUCAUUUGGGUCCACCACUUUGCCAUCUGCACCAAGGUGUGUAGCAUCAGGGUGGAUGAUGAGACCAGAUGGAAGAACGUUAACGUCAAAGGUCUCCUCAUAGCGGUGAAGAACCUCUGGCUCAAGUUUUAAUCCUCUACACAUCGCUCUCUAGAGACCCCGACAGAUGUUUACACAUACUGUUUAAUGCAAGAUAUAAAUGCAGUUAACCUGCAAUUACAAAUGCAUAAUGUUUUGAUGUCUUAAUCCCAAAAUGUUGAAUACUGAUAUUUGCAUUGAUAAAAGAACGUGCUUUAAGAGGUGAAAUUAAAAACACCAAUAUCUAGACAAUCAUGAAUUGUAACAUCACUUCCUUUAAUGUUUUUACUAUACAGCUGAUAUGGAAUUUGUUUAAAUGUUACAUUUUUGAAAAAAAAAAAAAGUUACAUGUUUAUAUGAAAUGCUUAUACAAAAUAAGUCUGUAGUUAACUUUAAAGUAUAUCUACAUUUCUUGCUUUCAUACAUGGUCAUAUAAAAAUUUGCCGAACUUAAGUGGUAGAUUUCUGCCAUUUACUGGAAAACAUUUAAAAUUACAAUUUUAACAAAAGCACUACAUGAGCAUUCUGAGUGAUUUUAUUACACUAAUAUACAAUCAGACACCCCAAUUUCUGUUUUGGUAAAGUCAUUAAGUGUCAUGUCAUUUAGAUGAAUUAGAAUUUAAUUUAGGGUCCUGAAAGACCCUGAACACUGCACACAGGUUAAGAUGACCAUUGCUACAUAAAUAAAAUAAAAAUUGAAACUCAUCCUAAUUUGUUUGAAUUUUCCCUUACUAAAUUAUACAGUUACUGAUGGACUGUGGGAUUACUAACAGGCUAUUAACAAAAAUUUGUCUCUAAACAGCUUUUCUCUUUA
Molecule: long non-coding RNA, 1996 nt
Filed under: Carassius auratus (goldfish)
Lineage: Eukaryota; Metazoa; Chordata; Actinopteri; Cypriniformes; Cyprinidae
Description: lncRNA (ENSCARG00000038032.1)
Source: RNAcentral